Molecule: ribosomal RNA, 253 nt
Filed under: uncultured bacterium
Lineage: Bacteria
Description: partial 16S ribosomal RNA
Rfam family: Bacterial small subunit ribosomal RNA
Source: RNAcentral
UACGUGGGGUGCGAGCGUUGUUCGGAAUUACUGGGCGUAAAGCGUGUGAAGGCGGUCUGCUAAGUCUGGUGUGAAAGCCCUGAGCUUAACUCAGGAACUGCGCCGGAAACUAGUAGACUAGAGUUCGGGAGAGGGUCGUGGAAUUCCUGGUGUAGAGGUGAAAUUCGUAGAUAUUCGGAGGAACACCAGUGGCGAAGGCGGCUCACUGGCUCGGUACUGACGCUGAGGUGCGAAAGCGUGGGGAGCAAACAGG